RNAcentral lists this unclassified non-coding RNA (1867 nucleotides) under Haliotis rubra (blacklip abalone). Its description in RNAcentral is "uPF0692 protein C19orf54 homolog, transcript variant X1". Lineage: Eukaryota; Metazoa; Mollusca; Gastropoda; Lepetellida; Haliotidae. The record is from RNAcentral.
GGGCGCACGCCUCUGUAGGUCACGGAAGCUGCGGCAGACGAUUUCCGUGUUGUUUACGAAUCGUCGUUCUGCACGUGGGAUUGUGACUAGCAAGUAUUUCAUGCAGGGAUGUGAUGUAACUCACUCGUGAAUGCCUUACCCCUUACUAUGAAAGGAUGUGAGACUCCACCAGCACCCCCUCCCCCCCCACCACCCCCUCCUCCCCUGAGGGUGGAGCCUGAGGUGGAGGAGCCAGGAGCCAUCAUAUGCUCCGACCAUGUCUGCCAGUCGCCUGAACACCUUGGAAGGGAGGCCUACCACAACUUCGUCAAUCAUCCCAAUACAAUUGCCAAGUAUCUGGAAGGGCAGUGUUACCUGUCCUUUUACCGUCCAGUGCAGCCAAUGAUACAGAAAGGGCCGCUAUGUGGGAUGGUGGCACUAGCAAUGGCUGCCCCCCUUCUCUCCAAACAGGAUGUUUCAGCUGAAAGUAUCUUUGAGAAAAGCAAGAGCAAAAAAUAUUCUCGCCAAGGAGAACUAUUUUCGGCGGACUGGGUGAUCCAUCUUGCCCAAGACAUGCUGAAGUGUGAUGCUGAGCAGCUGGAGAUGAAGGAGGGGCGUGGCGCUGUAGUGUGGAAGAUGCUCCGGGGAUCGAUGCUGCUGGUGCCUUAUGAUGCUGACAAGAAUCACUACCCCUGUCUGAAGAAAGGACACAAGGCUCAUUGGGCACUCAUUACAGGAUUCUUCGUGGUACUUGACAAGGCCCUUGAGAAGACUCUAAAGGACUACCUGCCCCCAGACCCGGAGGUGCCCAGAUUGUACCACUGUAAAGAUCCCAGACAGCUGGUAGUGGUGCAGCAUCAGAUCGUCAAGUCCUGUAAGAUUGUGCAUGUGUAUGGACACCAGGGCAAGAGCAAGUACCCGCGCGUCUGGCCUCUAGAUGAUCUCCUUGCCAGUAACGCCAAUCUGCGCGAGAUCGACCCAGAGAGGGUCAAGGACAUACAGGACUACAUUGUCCCUGGAGGUGGCAUAAGGGCUGGACUAUGCGGCAGGAUCGUGACAGUCACUGCCAAGAAAUAACAUCACUGCAGCUUUGUUUGCCCAAACAAUAUUGUGUUCAAUGGUUAUUCCUCAAAUUAGAUCUGUUAUCAUUACUUUAUCUCAAGUUAUUCUGAGAUAUUUAAAAUGAAUGACAGUUUGUAGUGAUGCAGAAUAAGAGGUUCCAUAGGUCAAUGAGAUCAGUGUGCUACAUGAGGUUUGAUUCUUUAGUAUUUUCAUACUUGUAAUGUUUUGACAUUUGGGUUAUGAAACGGAUCCAUCAACUUUCAUUCAUAGUUUCUGAAACUGUUUUCUGUUUCAUUGAUAUGAUUUUCAGGUAAGGCAUUUAAACCAGAUGUGUUUAUACCAGUUGGGUUUGGGGGAUGAAGUAGCCUGCCGGGUUGUCCGGAAUACCCUAUGUACACAUGGUGCAGUAUCCCAGUAGAGAUGCUGUACACUCCCAUUGCUGCCAUAUAUUAUGGGAUACUCUAAUGACUUGGUUAGACAGGUAACCAGGAAACUUUGCAAUUACAUGUGCUGAAAAAGAUGUAUUUACUCAGCGGAUACACGAGAUGGGCUUGCCAGUGAAGCUAAGAUUCCAAACAUCACCGGCAUACAUGAUGAUGAUACAGGUCGGUUGAUACUGAUGAUCAUGUGGUUGGCCUUUCCACAAGGAAUGAAGUUGGGUACUCCAAGCUUUAAGUCGAGAGUUACGUCCAUGGCCCAAGAGGACCAAUACUACCUGGGACCGGUGAAUAUUGCUGAGUGCAGCAUCAAACAACAAAUCAACCAACCAAUACCACCUGGCCUUUUCCACCUGAGAUGAUGCAUGAAAUAAAGGUUCCAACAUGUG